UACGAAGGAUCCAAGCGUUAUCCGGAUUUAUUGGGUUUAAAGGGUGCGUAGGCGGGCUAUUAAGUCAGUGGUGAAAGCCCCAAGCUCAACUUGGGAAUUGCCAUUGAUACUGAUGGUCUUGAGUACACUUGAAGUGGGCGGAAUGUGUCAUGUAGCGGUGAAAUGCGUAGAUAUCGGGAGGAACACCUGUGGCGAAGGCGGCCCCCUGGUUGGAUACUGACGCUGAUACGCGAAAGCGUGGGGAGCAAACCGG
This 253-nucleotide ribosomal RNA is filed under the name uncultured bacterium. RNAcentral describes it as "partial 16S ribosomal RNA". It matches the Rfam family "Bacterial small subunit ribosomal RNA", at positions 524 to 776 of the family's 1533-position model. The record is from RNAcentral.